UGGGGAAUCUUGCACAAUGGGCGAAAGCCUGAUGCAGCGACGCCGCGUGCGGGAUGAAGGCCUUCGGGUUGUAAACCGCUUUCAGUGGGGACGAGGCCGCGAGGUGACGGUACCCACAGAAGAAGCCCCGGCUAACUACGUGCCAGCAGCCGCGGUAAUACGUAGGGGGCAAGCGUUAUCCGGAUUCAUUGGGCGUAAAGCGCUCGUAGGCGGUCCGUUAGGUCGGGAGUUAAAUCCGGGGGCUCAACCCCCGCCCGCUCCCGAUACCGGCGGACUUGAGUUUGGUAGGGGAAAGUGGAAUUCCCAGUGUAGCGGUGGAAUGCGCAGAUAUUGGGAAGAACACCAGUGGCGAAGGCGGCUUUCUGGGCCACAACUGACGCUGAGGAGCGAAAGCUAGGGGAGCGAACAGG
RNAcentral lists this ribosomal RNA (410 nucleotides) under uncultured prokaryote. Its description in RNAcentral is "bacterial SSU rRNA". It matches the Rfam family "Bacterial small subunit ribosomal RNA", at positions 355 to 776 of the family's 1533-position model. RNAcentral also lists the same sequence under 1 other name. The record is from RNAcentral.